Molecule: long non-coding RNA, 343 nt
Organism: Eubalaena glacialis (North Atlantic right whale)
Lineage: Eukaryota; Metazoa; Chordata; Mammalia; Artiodactyla; Balaenidae
Exons: 3
Source: RefSeq, a predicted model, not a curated record
UCUACACCAAGGAAAUUCCAAACUUGAGGAGACUUAUCCCCACCUAGAACUUAUUUAGCUGAUGAGAUCCUGGUCCUCAAACCUGAACUUGAUGUCAAAAUAGACUGAGAUUUCUGGAGGCCUCGUGAGGAGGUUGGAGGCGAAUGGGAAGCCAAUAUUCUCUAAUUCCAGGCCAGAAGUGAACCAGAAGAAGUAAUGCAUAUUCAAUAUAAGACACUUGGACAACAGAACAACACAGAAAAGAAAUCCCUCUGUGUCUAUCUACCAUCUGGAGACAAGCACUGCAAACAAUUUGGUAUCACCCCUUUCUUUGCACGUAUCCACAAACGUAUAUACAUAUAUA